UACGUAGGGUGCGAGCGUUAAUCGGAAUUACUGGGCGUAAAGCGUGCGCAGGCGGUUCGUUAUGUCUGAUGUGAAAGCCCCGGGCUCAACCUGGGAAUGGCAUUGGAAACUGGCGAGCUUGAGUGUGGCAGAGGGGGGUGGAAUUCCGCGUGUAGCAGUGAAAUGCGUAGAGAUGCGGAGGAACACCGAUGGCGAAGGCAGCCCCCUGGGCUAACACUGACGCUCAGGCACGAAAGCGUGGGGAGCGAACAGG
Molecule: ribosomal RNA, 253 nt
Filed under: uncultured bacterium
Lineage: Bacteria
Description: partial 16S ribosomal RNA
Rfam family: Bacterial small subunit ribosomal RNA
Source: RNAcentral